Molecule: ribosomal RNA, 253 nt
Filed under: uncultured bacterium
Lineage: Bacteria
Description: partial 16S ribosomal RNA
Rfam family: Bacterial small subunit ribosomal RNA
Source: RNAcentral
UACAGAGGGGGCAAGCGUUAUUCGGAAUUAUUGGGCGUAAAGGGCGCGUAGGCGGCCUGGCAAGUGGAUGGUGAAAUCCCUCGGCUUAACCGAGGAACUGCCAUCCAGACUGCUUGGCUUGAGACCGGGAGAGGUGAGUGGAAUUCCCAGUGUAGCGGUGAAAUGCGUAGAUAUUGGGAGGAACACCAGUGGCGAAGGCGGCUCACUGGACCGGUACUGACGCUGAGGCGCGAAAGCUAGGGUAGCAAACGGG